This 383-nucleotide RNase P RNA is filed under the name Klebsiella pneumoniae. RNAcentral's name for it is "RNase P RNA component class A". It matches the Rfam family "Bacterial RNase P class A". Rfam says of the family: Ribonuclease P (RNase P) is a ubiquitous endoribonuclease, found in archaea, bacteria and eukarya as well as chloroplasts and mitochondria. Its best characterised activity is the generation of mature 5'-ends of tRNAs by cleaving the 5'-leader elements of precursor-tRNAs. RNAcentral also lists the same sequence under 56 other names. The record is from RNAcentral. Lineage: Bacteria; Pseudomonadati; Pseudomonadota; Gammaproteobacteria; Enterobacterales; Enterobacteriaceae.
GAAGCUGACCAGACAGUCGCCGCUUCGUCGUCGUCCUCCUUCGGGGGGAGACGGGCGGAGGGGAGGAAAGUCCGGGCUCCAUAGGGCAAGGUGCCAGGUAACGCCUGGGGGGUGUCACAGCCCACGACCAGUGCAACAGAGAGCAAACCGCCGAUGGCCCGCGUAAGCGGGAUCAGGUAAGGGUGAAAGGGUGCGGUAAGAGCGCACCGCGCGGCUGGUAACAGUCCGCGGCACGGUAAACUCCACCCGGAGCAAGGCCAAAUAGGGGUUCAUAAGGUACGGCCCGUACUGAACCCGGGUAGGCUGCUUGAGCCAGUGAGCGAUUGCUGGCCUAGAUGAAUGACUGUCCACGACAGAACCCGGCUUAUCGGUCAGUUUCACCU